RNAcentral lists this ribosomal RNA (780 nucleotides) under uncultured Bacillota bacterium. RNAcentral describes it as "bacterial SSU rRNA". It matches the Rfam family "Bacterial small subunit ribosomal RNA", at positions 72 to 865 of the family's 1533-position model. Lineage: Bacteria; Bacillati; Bacillota. The record is from RNAcentral.
AAAGCCCGCAAGGGUAAGUAGAGUGGCGCACGGGUGAGUAACACGUGGACAACCUGCCUUCGAGUGGGGAAUAACCUUCCGAAAGGAGGGCUAAUACCGCAUAACACCUCGGGACACAAGUUCUGGGGUUGAAAAGAGCAAUUUGCUCGAAGAGGGGUCCGCGCCUGAUUAGCUAGUUGGUGAGGUAACGGCUCACCAAGGCUUCGAUCAGUAGCCGUCCUGAGAGGGAGCACGGCCACACUGGAACUGAGACACGGUCCAGACUCCUACGGGAGGCAGCAGUGGGGAAUUUUUGGCAAUGGGCGAAAGCCUGACCAAGCAACGCCGCGUGGGUGAUGAAGUAUCUUGGUACGUAAAACCCUUUCGGCAGGGACGAACCUAACGACGGUACCUGCGGAAGAGGCCCCGGCUAACUCCGUGCCAGCAGCCGCGGUAAUACGGGGGGGGCAAGCGUUGUUCGGAAUUACUGGGCGUAAAGGGCGCGUAGGCGGUUGGAUAAGUCAGCUGUGAAACCACGGGCUUAACUCGUGGCCUGCAGUUGAGACUGUCUGGCUUGAGUGUGGGAGAGGAGAGUGGAAUUCCUGGUGUAGCGGUGAAAUGCGUAGAUAUCAGGAGGAACACCUGUGGCGAAGGCGGCUCUCUGGACCACAACUGACGCUGAGGCGCGAAAGCUAGGGGAGCAAACAGGAUUAGAUACCCUGGUAGUCCUAGCUGUAAACGAUGGAUACUUGCUGUGGGGGGGUGUUAAUUCCCCCUGUGGCGGAACCUAACGCAUUAAAU